GUAUUAAAAGCAUCAAUUAAAGUAUUCAGAUCUAAAUUUUCAACAUUUUUAACAAAAACAUCUGGGGAAAAUAAAAUCUCUUCUUUAUUAUCUUGUGUAUAUCUAAAAAACACAAUGAAAGCAUCUGUUCCUAAUUUUAAGUAAUUAGCUGUUUUUGCCGUA
Molecule: non-coding RNA, 162 nt
Filed under: Mycoplasmoides gallisepticum S6
Lineage: Bacteria; Bacillati; Mycoplasmatota; Mycoplasmoidales; Mycoplasmoidaceae
Source: RNAcentral